Molecule: ribosomal RNA, 447 nt
Filed under: uncultured bacterium
Lineage: Bacteria
Description: bacterial SSU rRNA
Rfam family: Bacterial small subunit ribosomal RNA
Source: RNAcentral
GAUGAACGCUGGCGGCGUGCUUAACACAUGCAAGUCGAGCGAAGCGCUUUGGAAAGAUUCUUCGGAUGAUUUCCUUUGUGACUGAGCGGCGGACGGGUGAGUAACGCGUGGGUAACCUGCCUCAUACAGGGGGAUAACAGUUAGAAAUGACUGCUAAUACCGCAUAAGACCACGGUACCGCAUGGUACAGUGGCAAAAACUCCGGUGGUAUGAGAUGGACCCGCGUCUGAUUAGGUAGUUGGUGGGGUAACGGCCUACCAAGCCGACGAUCAGUAGCCGACCUGAGAGGGUGACCGGCCACAUUGGGACUGAGACACGGCCCAGACUCCUACGGGAGGCAGCAGUGGGGAAUAUUGCACAAUGGAGGAAACUCUGAUGCAGCGACGCCGCGUGAAGGAUGAAGUAUUUCGGUAUGUAAACUUCUAUCAGCAGGGAAGAAAAUGACGG